Molecule: ribosomal RNA, 441 nt
Filed under: uncultured bacterium
Lineage: Bacteria
Description: partial 16S ribosomal RNA
Rfam family: Bacterial small subunit ribosomal RNA
Source: RNAcentral
CCUACGGGCGGCUGCAGUGGGGGAUAUUGCACAAUGGGGGAAACCCUGAUGCAGCGACGCCGCGUGGGUGAAGAAGUAUUUCGGUAUGUAAAGCCCUAUCAGCAGGGAAGAAAGAAGACGGUACCUGACUAAGAAGCCCCGGCUAACUACGUGCCAGCAGCCGCGGUAAUACGUAGGGGGCGAGCGUUAUCCGGAUUCACUGGGUGUAAAGGGAGCGUAGACGGCCGUGCAAGCCAGGAGUGAAAGCCCGGGGCCCAACCCCGGGACUGCUCUUGGAACUGUGCGGCUGGAGUGCGGGAGGGGCAGGCGGAAUUCCUGGUGUAGCGGUGAAAUGCGUAGAUAUCAGGAGGAACACCGGCGGCGAAGGCGGCCUGCUGGACCGCGACUGACGUUGAGGCUCGAAAGCGUGGGGAGCGAACAGGAUUAGAUACCCUUGUAGUC